GGAAUUUUGGACAAUGGGCGCAAGCCUGAUCCAGCAAUGCCGCGUGAGUGAAGAAGGCCUUCGGGUUGUAAAGCUCUUUUGUCAGGGAAGAAACGGUGAUCUCUAAUAUAGAUUGCUAAUGACGGUACCUGAAGAAUAAGCACCGGCUAACUACGUGCCAGCAGCCGCGGUAAUACGUAGGGUGCAAGCGUUAAUCGGAAUUACUGGGCGUAAAGCGUGCGCAGGCGGUUUUGUAAGACUGUCGUGAAAUCCCCGGGCUCAACCUGGGAAUGGCGAUGGUGACUGCAAGGCUAGAGUUUGGCAGAGGGGGGUAGAAUUCCACGUGUAGCAGUGAAAUGCGUAGAUAUGUGGAGGAACACCGAUGGCGAAGGCAGCCCCCUGGGUCAAAACUGACGCUCAUGCACGAAAGCGUGGGGAGCAAACAGGAUUAGAUACCCUUG
This 440-nucleotide ribosomal RNA is filed under the name uncultured Duganella sp. RNAcentral's name for it is "bacterial SSU rRNA". It matches the Rfam family "Bacterial small subunit ribosomal RNA", at positions 358 to 790 of the family's 1533-position model. Lineage: Bacteria; Pseudomonadati; Pseudomonadota; Betaproteobacteria; Burkholderiales; Oxalobacteraceae. The record is from RNAcentral.